GAUGAACGCUGGCGGCGUGCCUAAUACAUGCAAGUCGAGCGAACAGACGAGGAGCUUGCUCCUCUGACGUUAGCGGCGGACGGGUGAGUAACACGUGGAUAACCUACCUAUAAGACUGGGAUAACUUCGGGAAACCGGAGCUAAUACCGGAUAAUAUAUUGAACCGCAUGGUUCAAUAGUGAAAUACGGUUUUGCUGUCACUUAUAGAUGGAUCCGCGCCGCAUUAGCUAGUUGGUAAGUUAACGGCUUACCAAGGCAACGAUGCGUAGCCGACCUGAGAGGGUGAUCGGCCACACUGGAACUGAGACACGGUCCAGACUCCUACGGGAGGCAGCAGUAGGGAAUCUUCCGCAAUGGGCGAAAGCUUGACGGAGCAACGCCGCGUGAGUGAUGAAGGUCUUCGGAUCGUAAAACUCUGUUAUUAGGGAAGAACAAAUGUGUAAGUAACUAUGCACGUCUUGACGGUACCUAAUCAGAAAGCCACGGCUAACUACGUG
RNAcentral lists this ribosomal RNA (497 nucleotides) under uncultured bacterium. RNAcentral's name for it is "partial 16S ribosomal RNA". It matches the Rfam family "Bacterial small subunit ribosomal RNA", at positions 28 to 507 of the family's 1533-position model. The record is from RNAcentral.